Molecule: transfer RNA, 84 nt
Filed under: Ktedonobacterales bacterium
Lineage: Bacteria; Bacillati; Chloroflexota; Ktedonobacteria; Ktedonobacterales
Also listed under: 1 other name
Description: tRNA-Leu
Rfam family: tRNA
About the family: Transfer RNA (tRNA) molecules are approximately 80 nucleotides in length. Their secondary structure includes four short double-helical elements and three loops (D, anti-codon, and T loops). Further hydrogen bonds mediate the characteristic L-shaped molecular structure. tRNAs have two regions of fundamental functional importance: the anti-codon, which is responsible for specific mRNA codon recognition, and the 3' end, to which the tRNAs corresponding amino acid is attached (by aminoacyl-tRNA synthetases). tRNAs cope with the degeneracy of the genetic code in two manners: having more than one tRNA (with a specific anti-codon) for a particular amino acid; and 'wobble' base-pairing, i.e. permitting non-standard base-pairing at the 3rd anti-codon position.
Source: RNAcentral
GGGGCGGUGGCGAAAUGGCAGACGCUGGGGACUUAAAAUCCUCUGGGCUAAUUACCCGUGCGGGUUCGAGUCCCGCUCGCCCUA